AACGAACGCUGGCGGCAGGCCUAACACAUGCAAGUCGAGCGCCCCGCAAGGGGAGCGGCGGACGGGUGAGUAACGCGUGGGAAUAUGCCCUUUGCUACGGAAUAGUCUCGGGAAACUGGGGGUAAUACCGUAUACGCCCUUUUGGGGAAAGAUUUAUCGGCGAAGGAUUAGCCCGCGUUGGAUUAGGUAGUUGGUGGGGUAAUGGCCUACCAAGCCGACGAUCCAUAGCUGGUUUGAGAGGAUGAUCAGCCACACUGGGACUGAGACACGGCCCAGACUCCUACGGGAGGCAGCAGUGGGGAAUCUUAGACAAUGGGGGCAACCCUGAUAUAGCCAUGCCGCGUGAGUGAUGAAGGCCUUAGGGUUGUAAAGCUCUUUCAGCUGGGAAGAUAAUGACGGUACCAGCAGAAGAAGCCCCGGCUAACUCCGUG
RNAcentral lists this ribosomal RNA (431 nucleotides) under uncultured bacterium. RNAcentral describes it as "partial 16S ribosomal RNA". It matches the Rfam family "Bacterial small subunit ribosomal RNA", at positions 29 to 507 of the family's 1533-position model. The record is from RNAcentral.